This 68-nucleotide transfer RNA is filed under the name Gerrhopilus ceylonicus (Jan's worm snake). RNAcentral's name for it is "transfer RNA-Gly". Lineage: Eukaryota; Metazoa; Chordata; Lepidosauria; Squamata; Gerrhopilidae. The record is from RNAcentral.
ACCUCUUUAAUAUAUGAAUAGUAUAUAUGUUUUCCAAACAUAACGAUCCAACCCUCAGGAAAGAAGUA